UUCCCAAAUUUUUUAUUAAUUCUGCAAAUUAGUUCAUAAAACACACUAAACAAAACUAGAAAAAUAACAAACAUUAUUAGCAACAAUUUUGUCAAACAGUUGGUGUGCAACAAUUCUUCACCAUUUCUUCAUCUUCAUUCUCAUCCCAAGACCCAUACAAAAUCGAUCUAGGAGACCCAUAACACCCACCUUGACUUUCCUUAACAAACCCAUAAUACAUCAUCAAACCACCAUUUCCAAGAUCUUCAAAGCUCGAUUCUUUAACACCAUAACCCAUUUCCAUGCAACGAUACAUAAAAUUCAAUGUGUUUGAAACAACUCAACACCCUUUUGACCAGAAGAGUUAAAUCGAUUGAUGAUUGAAACAACUCAACACCCUUACCUAAUAAGCCGCUUAGCACUCACUUUCAAAAUCGAUUAAAGAUGAAGAGGAUUAGUAGUGGUGGAAGAAGAAGUUGUUCGUGGAUUGAAGGAGAAGGAGAAAGAAGAAGUCACGCCGUUUAGGAGCAAAGAGAUAGAGAAGGGCAAAUACGUGAAACUAGUGCGAAGGACCGAGUCAGCUACUUUUUCUUUGAGGACCGAAUCAGUGGUUGUGGACUGAAUCAGGUGUGCAAAGAACUCUAAUCAAACAAGCUGACCAGCUGACCCGGACCGAGUCAGAAAAAAAGGUCUGACUGGACCGAGUUAACUGUAUGUUUGGCAAUUAAAUCAACAAGGAAUCUUACGAUUAACAACAUUAAGGAACAACUUUCUAUUUAGCAUUCUCUUAUGUUGUAAUUAAGAUCACAGGGAGCUCUGUAAUAUGCAGGCAUGGUCGAAGGGAAGAACAUCUGACGUACUCCUUCCGCUUUUAUGAUCGGAAAUAUGAUUCCAGAUGCACCCUGCAUCAUUUUAAUGGUAUGCCAAUUUUUAGAUUUUAGAUUUCAAUUUUAUUAAAAGGGAAAUCUCUGAUAAAAUCCUAAUAUUUUAGGUCAAUUUACGAUUUAGUCCCAAAUUAAAUUUUGUUUACAAAAAUAGACAGAUUACCGGCUAAAACUUCGGAAUAACCCUUCGUGGCCGGUUUCACAGAUUUAGCCGAUAUCUCGUCUUUUUUCGUUAAUUAAUCCAAAUUUUGGGGCUUUUUCAUUAAUUAAUCAAAAUUUUAGGGCUUUUUCAUUAUUUAUUACCAAUAAACCAAAAUAUUUGGACUUUUCUGAAGACUACCUUUAAACUAAUAUAUAUUAUAUGAUCUAACUUAAUAUGUACCAUUCCCUGUCUUCUUUCUUACGCUCUUCUAGGCGCACCGUAUGUUUUUAUUGUCGUCGUCAAACCCAACAACAAAAAUCUCACUCACAAGCAUUGUUAACUCCAUCGAUUUUCCAAAAUCAUCCAUUCAUAACUCUACGAUCAUCUUUCAAUCUCCAAAUGAAGAAAUGAGAAAAUCAUUGUUGAUUAUGUGGAUGCCCCUAUUACCUAACCAUGACUUAAACCAUGGUUCCAAUACUCAGAUGUUCCUAUUACCUAACCAUGACCUGAAUCCUAUUUCGAACCCAUACACUAUUCGUAUUGUCCAUAGUGUUGUUCACAACAAAAUACGAAUCCCACAUGGUUUAACCACUGAUACCUUGGCUCAAGUCUUACAUGACCCUUGUUUCCUUACAAUAGGGCUUGAAAACCAUGAAGAAUGUUAACUCUAAUUGUUAAAAAAAAAAGUCAGCAAGCUAUCCAUCAUAAACUAUUAAAAAUAUUAAUUUGGUAUUCCUACGAGCUACGGUUCCAACACUUGGAUGUUCCUAUAACCUAACCAUGACUCAAACCUUAUUUCGAACCCAUACACUAAGGCAUUGACCAUAGUUUUGUUAACAAGAAAAAUUGAAUCCCACAUGGUUUAACCACUGAUACCUUGGCUCAAGUCUUACUUGACCCUUGUUUCCUUACAAUAUGUGUAACAUCCCAACUCUCAGGUAUAAUAUUUAAUUAAUUUAUAUUCUUGUUGUCUGAUAAACUUGACGAGUUGAAGGCCCCAACUUGCCGAGUAGAGAGUGUUAAUGGUCGCGUAAUUUCUAGAGUCUACUCGACGAGUUGGAGGAUCCCAACUCGACGAGUAGGAGCUAAGUGUGAAAACCCUAAUUUUCAGGGUUUGUGUCCUAUUUAAAGGACAUUAAGCCUUCAUUUUCGCCUCCCUUAUCAUCUUAACACUCUAAGAGAAACCCUAAUCGAGCUAUAUGCUUGUAGGAGAGAAAGAGGGGCUAAUAUUGCAUAUUGUAGUGCAUUUUUGGAAGAAGAUUGAGGAGAAAAAGGCUUGGGACGAGAAGGAGCUCUUGGAUCCAAUGUU
Molecule: long non-coding RNA, 2314 nt
Filed under: Lactuca sativa (garden lettuce)
Lineage: Eukaryota; Viridiplantae; Streptophyta; Magnoliopsida; Asterales; Asteraceae
Description: long non-coding RNA (LSAT_LNC009566)
Source: RNAcentral